Molecule: ribosomal RNA, 449 nt
Filed under: uncultured bacterium
Lineage: Bacteria
Description: partial 16S ribosomal RNA
Rfam family: Bacterial small subunit ribosomal RNA
Source: RNAcentral
AACGAACGCUGGCGGCAUGCCUAACACAUGCAAGUCGAACGAGAUCUUCGGGUCUAGUGGCGCACGGGUGCGUAACGCGUGGGAAUCUGCCCUUUGGUUCGGAAUAACAGUUGGAAACGACUGCUAAUACCGGAUGAUGACGAAAGUCCAAGGAUUUAUCGCCAGAGGAUGAGCCCGCGUAGGAUUAGCUAGUUGGUGUGGUAAAGGCGCACCAAGGCGACGAUCCUUAGCUGGUCUGAGAGGAUGAUCAGCCACACUGGGACUGAGACACGGCCCAGACUCCUACGGGAGGCAGCAGUGGGGAAUAUUGGACAAUGGGCGAAAGCCUGAUCCAGCAAUGCCGCGUGAGUGAUGAAGGCCUUAGGGUUGUAAAGCUCUUUUACCCGGGAUGAUAAUGACAGUACCGGGAGAAUAAGCUCCGGCUAACUCCGUGCCAGCAGCCGCUGUAA